UACGUAGGGGGCAAGCGUUGUCCGGAUUUAUUGGGCGUAAAGAGCGUGUAGGCGGUUUGGUAGGUCCGCUGUGAAAACUCGAGGCUCAACCUCGAGACGCCGGUGGAAACCAUCAGGCUAGAGUCCGGAAGAGGAGAGUGGAAUUCCUGGUGUAGCGGUGAAAUGCGCAGAUAUCAGGAGGAACACCGGUGGCGAAGGCGGCAACCUGGUCCUUGACUGACGCUGAGGCGCGAAAGCGUGGGGGAGCAAACAGG
Molecule: ribosomal RNA, 254 nt
Filed under: uncultured bacterium
Lineage: Bacteria
Description: partial 16S ribosomal RNA
Rfam family: Bacterial small subunit ribosomal RNA
Source: RNAcentral